RNAcentral lists this long non-coding RNA (212 nucleotides) under Salvia miltiorrhiza (redroot sage). RNAcentral's name for it is "long non-coding RNA (SMIL_LNC011769)". Lineage: Eukaryota; Viridiplantae; Streptophyta; Magnoliopsida; Lamiales; Lamiaceae. The record is from RNAcentral.
CUUGACAUCAUCUAAUGAUACGCAGCGGAAUAUACAUUCAAGGAUUAGAUCUAGAUUUACAAAUGCAUCAUGUGUAGAGAUAGGCACACAACGAAAGGAAUAACUUACUCGUUGUGUGGUAAGCGUGCGUCUCGAUUCUUGCCGUGAAUCCACUACUAAGGUAUCCACGUGUAUGUCGAUUCGAUGCAGGAACGAUUCCAAGUGCACGAUUC